AACGAACGCUGGCGGCAGGCCUAACACAUGCAAGUCGAGCGCUCUCUUCGGAGGGAGCGGCGGACGGGUUAGUAACGCGUGGGAAUGUACCCUUCUCUAAGGAAUAGCCAUUGGAAACAAUGAGUAAUACCUUAUACGACCCCCCGGGUCAAACUCGGGGGGGAAAGAUUUAUCGGAGAGGGAUCAGCCCGCGUAAGAUUAGAUAGUUGGUGGGGUAAUGGCCUACCAAGUCUACGAUCUUUAGCUGGGUUUUUAGAGGAUGAUCAGCAACACUGGGACUGAGACACGGCCCAGACUCCUACGGGAGGCAGCAGUGGGGAAUCUUGGACAAUGGGCGCAAGCCUGAUCCAGCCAUGCCGCGUGAGUGAUGAAGGCCUUAGGGUCGUAAAGCUCUUUCGCCAGAGAUGAUAAUGACAGUAUCUGGUAAAGAAGUCCCGGCUAACUCCGUG
Molecule: ribosomal RNA, 449 nt
Filed under: uncultured bacterium
Lineage: Bacteria
Description: bacterial SSU rRNA
Rfam family: Bacterial small subunit ribosomal RNA
Source: RNAcentral